Molecule: ribosomal RNA, 426 nt
Filed under: uncultured bacterium
Lineage: Bacteria
Description: partial 16S ribosomal RNA
Rfam family: Bacterial small subunit ribosomal RNA
Source: RNAcentral
GUGAGGAAUAUUCCGCAAUGGGGGAAACCCUGACGGAGCAAUGCCGCGUGCAGGAUGAAGGCCCUCGGGUCGUAAACUGCUUUUAUAUGAGAAGAAUAUGACGGUAACAUAUGAAUAAGGGACGGCUAACUACGUGCCAGCAGCCGCGGUCAUACGUAGGUCCCAAGCGUUAUCCGGAGUGACUGGGCGUAAAGAGUUGCGUAGGCGGCUCGUUAAGCGUGAAAUGAAAUUUAUCGGCUCAACCGGUAAACUAUUUCGCGAACUGACGGGCUCGAGAGUAUGAGAGGUUACUGGAAUUUCUAGUGUAGCAGUGAAAUGCGUAGAUAUUAGAAAGAACACCAACGGCGUAGGCAGGUAACUGGCAUACAUCUGACGCUGAGGCACGAAAGCGUGGGGAGCGAACCGGAUUAGAAACCCGUGUAGUCC